AAGUCGUAACAAGGUCUCCGUUGGUGAACCAGCGGAGGGAUCAUUACCGAGUUUACAACUCCCAAACCCCUGUGAACAUACCUAUUGUUGCCUCGGCGGUGCCUGUUCCGACAGCCCGCCAGAGGACCCCAAACCCUGAUUACAUUAAAGAAUUCUUCUGAGUAACCGAUUAAAUAAAUCAAAACUUUCAACAACGGAUCUCUUGGUUCUG
Molecule: unclassified non-coding RNA, 211 nt
Filed under: Dactylonectria estremocensis
Lineage: Eukaryota; Fungi; Ascomycota; Sordariomycetes; Hypocreales; Nectriaceae
Also listed under: 2 other names
Description: partial internal transcribed spacer region
Rfam family: Eukaryotic small subunit ribosomal RNA (bases 1-46)
Source: RNAcentral